This 149-nucleotide unclassified non-coding RNA is filed under the name soil metagenome. RNAcentral describes it as "partial internal transcribed spacer 1". The record is from RNAcentral.
CCGAGUUUACAACUCCCAAACCCCUGUGAACAUACCCUUAUGUUGCCUCGGCGGAUCAGCCCGCGCCCCGUAAAACGGGACGGCCCGCCGCAGGAGACCCUAAACUCUGUUUUUAGUGGAACUUUUGAGUAUAAAAAACAAAUAAAUCA